This 253-nucleotide ribosomal RNA is filed under the name uncultured bacterium. RNAcentral describes it as "partial 16S ribosomal RNA". It matches the Rfam family "Bacterial small subunit ribosomal RNA", at positions 524 to 776 of the family's 1533-position model. The record is from RNAcentral.
UACGAGAGGCCCGAGCGUUAUCCGGAGUUACUGGGCGUAAAGGGUGUGUAGGGGGUUGUGUUAGUCUUUGUUUAAAUCCUUGGGCCUAACCCAAGAACUGGCGAAGAUACGGCACAACUAGAGGAUGUGAGAGGCGAGUGGAACUCAUGGUGGAGGGGUGAAAUCCGUUGAUAUCAUGGGGAACACCAAAGGCGAAGGCAGCUCGCUGGCGCAUACCUGACCCUGAAACACGAAAGCGUGGGGAUCAAAAAGG